UACGAAGGGGGCUAGCGUUGUUCGGAAUUACUGGGCGUAAAGGGCGCGUAGGCGGUCCUUCAAGUCAGGCGUGAAAGCCCCGGGCUCAACCUGGGAACCGCGCUUGAGACUGAUGGGCUAGAGUUCGGGAGAGGAUGGUGGAAUUCCCAGUGUAGAGGUGAAAUUCGUAGAUAUUGGGAAGAACACCGAUGGCGAAGGCAGCCAUCUGGACCGACACUGACGCUGAGGCGCGAAAGCGUGGGGAGCAAACAGG
RNAcentral lists this ribosomal RNA (253 nucleotides) under uncultured bacterium. RNAcentral describes it as "partial 16S ribosomal RNA". It matches the Rfam family "Bacterial small subunit ribosomal RNA", at positions 524 to 776 of the family's 1533-position model. The record is from RNAcentral.